This 253-nucleotide ribosomal RNA is filed under the name uncultured bacterium. RNAcentral describes it as "partial 16S ribosomal RNA". It matches the Rfam family "Bacterial small subunit ribosomal RNA", at positions 524 to 776 of the family's 1533-position model. The record is from RNAcentral.
UACGUAGGGGGCAAGCGUUGUCCGGAAUCAUUGGGCGUAAAGCGCGUGUAGGCGGUCCGGUAAGUCGGCUGUGAAAGUCCAGGGCUCAACCCUGGAAUGCCGGUGGAAACUGUCGGGCUGGAGUCCGGAAGAGGCGAGUGGAAUUCCUGGUGUAGCGGUGAAAUGCGCAGAUAUCAGGAGGAACACCAAUGGCGAAGGCAGCUCGCUGGGACGGUACUGACGCUGAGACGCGAAAGCGUGGGGAGCAAACAGG